RNAcentral lists this ribosomal RNA (485 nucleotides) under Ectopseudomonas mendocina. Its description in RNAcentral is "bacterial SSU rRNA". It matches the Rfam family "Bacterial small subunit ribosomal RNA", at positions 53 to 531 of the family's 1533-position model. The record is from RNAcentral. Lineage: Bacteria; Pseudomonadati; Pseudomonadota; Gammaproteobacteria; Pseudomonadales; Pseudomonadaceae.
ACAUGMAGUCGAGCGGAUGAAGGAAGCUUGCUUCCUGAUUUAGCGGCGGACGGGUGAGUAAUGCCUAGGAAUCUGCCUGGUGGUGGGGGAUAACGUUCCGAAAGGAACGCUAAUACCGCAUACGUCCUACGGGAGAAAGCGGGGGAUCUUCGGACCUCGCGCCAUUAGAUGAGCCUAGGUCGGAUUAGCUAGUUGGUGAGGUAAUGGCUCACCAAGGCGACGAUCCGUAACUGGUCUGAGAGGAUGAUCAGUCACACUGGAACUGAGACACGGUCCAGACUCCUACGGGAGGCAGCAGUGGGGAAUAUUGGACAAUGGGCGAAAGCCUGAUCCAGCCAUGCCGCGUGUGUGAAGAAGGUCUUCGGAUUGUAAAGCACUUUAAGUUGGGAGGAAGGGCAUUAACCUAAUACGUUAAUGUUUUGACGUUACCGACAGAAUAAGCACCGGCUAACUUCGUGCCAGCAGCCGCGUWAAUAAAUUYCCCC